Nerophis lumbriciformis (worm pipefish) is the source of this 975-nucleotide long non-coding RNA. RefSeq lists it as uncharacterized. The record is from RefSeq and is a predicted model, not a curated record. NCBI's taxonomy places the organism in Eukaryota, Metazoa, Chordata, Actinopteri, Syngnathiformes, Syngnathidae.
UUUGCUCUCGCCAUUUAAUCGCUGAAAUGUACUUUUUCAGGUCCUAAUGUGCAGCCUCAAAGAAGCAAAAAAGAAGAAGAAGUGAGAAGCACUCUUAAUGAGGUUAAGUCAAGUUUGGGUGUUGCUGUUGUGGUGUGAAUAAGGGAGGCCUGAGGAGGUCACGUUCAAGUCUCCUCUUCUCAGGAGAAGAGAAGCAGACAAGCGCUGCAGGGCGGCUUCAAGCAAGGCGGGACUGAGCCCCAGGCUGGAGGAAGCUGAAACAAACCGCUGGCCGUUAUCCCUCUCGGAUACAAGCCGGAGCUGUGAGUGCUUGAAGACAAUAAUGUCAUUUGAAGAAAACAGCAGGAGUAAUUGCCAAGCUGAGUGUCACUCAUUCAUCUCUGCGUGCUCCACAGGGGGGGGGGCGAGGACAUGUGAGGACCACCUCUGACACGUAACGCAGCUGGCCUUGUUCACAAAGACAACUGGACCUCAAAUCUUCCUCCAGAACUUGCAGUCUCGGAUGUAGCGCUUGGCAUCUGUCUCGUACGGCGAGGUAAAAGCCGCCGCGGCGUUCCCAGACAAGUCCGUAAGUGAAGCACAAUGAGCUGGAAGGCGGCCAAGACGCCUCCGCUGCAAACAUCACACAUUUCCCACGGCACUUUCAACUCAGGGAAGCGGAAUUUGUGUGUAAAGGAAGACAAAGGAGGAGAUGAUUAAAUGUCUCGUAAGCGCGACAAAAGCUAAAGAAGUAAGGGACAAUUGGAUGCUUUUGCUCCUUGGCUCCCCCUGCGGGUUCCAAGUACAUUUUUUUAGUGAAGUUCAUGAAUUGUGGCUUAAAAUGAACAACGUUGGAUGUGAGGUCCAACCAGGCCAAUUAAGCAGGUGAUACAUGGUUACCACGGUAACAAGAGUGAUGCUAUUUUAAUGCUUCAGUCAUUGAAAGAUGUUCUUCCGAUUCACUUUAUCUAAAGGAUUCAUUUUUUAUGAUUAUAA